Molecule: ribosomal RNA, 710 nt
Filed under: uncultured bacterium
Lineage: Bacteria
Description: bacterial SSU rRNA
Rfam family: Bacterial small subunit ribosomal RNA
Source: RNAcentral
AGCGGCGGACGGGUGAGUAACGCGUGGGUAACCUGCCCUGUACACACGGAUAACAUACCGAAAGGUAUGCUAAUACGAGAUAAUAUGCUUUUAUCGCGUGGUAGAAGUAUCAAAGCUUUUGCGGUACAGGAUGGACCCGCGUCUGAUUAGCUAGUUGGUAAGGUAACGGCUUACCAAGGCGACGAUCAGUAGCCGACCUGAGAGGGUGAUCGGCCACAUUGGAACUGAGACACGGUCCAAACUCCUACGGGAGGCAGCAGUGGGGAAUAUUGCACAAUGGGCGAAAGCCUGAUGCAGCAACGCCGCGUGAGCGAUGAAGGCCUUCGGGUCGUAAAGCUCUGUCCUCAAGGAAGAUAAUGACGGUACUUGAGGAGGAAGCCCCGGCUAACUACGUGCCAGCAGCCGCGGUAAUACGUAGGGGGCUAGCGUUAUCCGGGAUUACUGGGCGUAAAGGGUGCGUAGGUGGUUUCUUAAGUCAGAGGUGAAAGGCUACGGCUCAACCGUAGUAAGCCUUUGAAACUGGGAAACUUGAGUGCAGGAGAGGAGAGUGGAAUUCCUAGUGUAGCGGUGAAAUGCGUAGAUAUUAGGAGGAACACCAGUUGCGAAGGCGGCUCUCUGGACUGUAACUGACACUGAGGCACGAAAGCGUGGGGAGCAAACAGGAUUAGAUACCCUGGUAGUCCACGCCGUAAACGAUGAGUACUAGCUGU